AAAAGAAAACGAGUUCGAGGUCCUAAAAACUGGGAGUUCCUGAUCCGGCUCUUGGCAGACAAGCGAACGAAUCCAUCUUUGAUUCGCUGGGAAGACGAGUCCAAGGCGACCUUCCGCUUGGUCCAGCCUGACAAAAUUGCGCAGAUGUGGUCAUCAAGAACUCCAGAUUCUCCUCCUUUAACUUAUAACAACUUCGCUAGAGGCCUCAGAUACCACUAUAAUAGAGGUGCUCUGCGACCAGUGUCAGAGAAGCAGCUGGUGUACCAAUGCGGGCCCAAGGCGCUCCAGUUCCUGAUCGACCUGCGCAAGGCGGCCUCGUGAUAGAG
RNAcentral lists this long non-coding RNA (326 nucleotides) under Penaeus japonicus. RNAcentral's name for it is "uncharacterized LOC122253121". Lineage: Eukaryota; Metazoa; Arthropoda; Malacostraca; Decapoda; Penaeidae. The record is from RNAcentral.